AGUCGCGAUCAGACUGAAUGGUAGUUUGCUGGGCCUGUUGCUCCCGGAGGCGCUGGUUCGAAUCCAGUUCGUGACAAC
This 78-nucleotide transfer RNA is filed under the name Helianthus annuus (common sunflower). RNAcentral's name for it is "tRNA HanXRQr2_Chr12g0557261". It matches the Rfam family "tRNA". Rfam says of the family: Transfer RNA (tRNA) molecules are approximately 80 nucleotides in length. Their secondary structure includes four short double-helical elements and three loops (D, anti-codon, and T loops). Further hydrogen bonds mediate the characteristic L-shaped molecular structure. tRNAs have two regions of fundamental functional importance: the anti-codon, which is responsible for specific mRNA codon recognition, and the 3' end, to which the tRNAs corresponding amino acid is attached (by aminoacyl-tRNA synthetases). tRNAs cope with the degeneracy of the genetic code in two manners: having more than one tRNA (with a specific anti-codon) for a particular amino acid; and 'wobble' base-pairing, i.e. permitting non-standard base-pairing at the 3rd anti-codon position. The record is from RNAcentral. Lineage: Eukaryota; Viridiplantae; Streptophyta; Magnoliopsida; Asterales; Asteraceae.